This is a long non-coding RNA of Vidua chalybeata, 820 nucleotides long. RefSeq lists it as uncharacterized. The record is from RefSeq and is a predicted model, not a curated record. The transcript has 3 exons. Lineage: Eukaryota; Metazoa; Chordata; Aves; Passeriformes; Viduidae.
GACCCUUGGCUGAGCCUGGUGGAGUCCAUCUGAACUCUGCUGGUUCAGAUGACCCUUCUGAGCAUGGAUGGCCACCCAUAGUUCUGAGACUCAUAAAACACUGAGCCCUGUCACCUGAAGAUAUUUCCUUUCUUCCAGCUUUUGUCUGCAUCCUCAAAGACUUUCCCUUCAGAAAGAGCCUUUUUCAGAGCAGAGGUGACAUAUGUCCUCCAUGGAGUCAUUGCUGGAGCUGUGCUCAAAAGCUAAACUGACAAACCUUCCUGAGAAGUCACCUCUGCUCGAUGGCAAUUCGUUUUGAGCUUCUCAGAGGUUAUCAUGAACAUGGAAAACAUCCGACAAAUGGAUUUUUCCUGCAGAAGCAAUGAAUGCAGAUCGAAUCGCCCUUGAGUACGGCUGAGUUUUCAGAUGGCAACAGAGCACCAUGCCUGUGUUAUAUUAGUUUUGCAUAUUUAUAAGCAGGUCUUCAUCCAAUAGUUAAUACUUGAAGGAGCACCUAAGAUGGCAAUGGAUAAUGAAGCCAGCCCUUCGAAGAAGCUUUGAAUGAUAAAAUGGUCUUGGAUCAAGCUGUGGGAUAUAUUUCCCAAAGACUAUGAAAAAAUUAGCAUGAGCUCUUCACAUUUGUCAAUGUUCUGUACAUAUUUAUUUUAAUUUUUUCCUCCUUUCCUAUGUUUGUACUAUGAUCACAAAUCAUCUCUCUUUACCUUGCAUUUUUACUUUCUGUCUGGUCUCACAGUCUGUCUUCCGCUAAGUAACUGAGUCAUCUGGCUCAUCUCUACCUCAAACUUCCCUAGGUGCUGAGUACUGUUCUUUCACAAAUUAA